RNAcentral lists this ribosomal RNA (479 nucleotides) under uncultured bacterium. RNAcentral describes it as "partial 16S ribosomal RNA". It matches the Rfam family "Bacterial small subunit ribosomal RNA", at positions 28 to 507 of the family's 1533-position model. The record is from RNAcentral.
GAUGAACGCUAGCGGGAGGCCUAACACAUGCAAGCCGAGCGGUAGAGUUUCUUCGGAAACUUGAGAGCGGCGCACGGGUGCGUAACACGUGUGCAACCCACCUUUAUCUGGGGGAUAGCCUUUCGAAAGGAAGAUUAAUACCCCAUAAUAUAAUGAUUGGCAUCAAUUAUUAUUGAAAACUCCGGUGGAUAGAGAUGGGCACGCGCAAGAUUAGAUAGUUGGUGAGGUAACGGCUCACCAAGUCAAUGAUCUUUAGGGGUCCUGAGAGGGAGAUCCCCCACACUGGUACUGAGACACGGACCAGACUCCUACGGGAGGCAGCAGUGAGGAAUAUUGGACAAUGGGUGAGAGCCUGAUCCAGCCAUCCCGCGUGAAGGAUGACGGUCCUAUGGAUUGUAAACUUCCUUUGUACAGGGAUAAACCUACCCUCGUGAGGGUAGCUGAAGGUACUGUACGAAUAAGCACCGGCUAACUCCGUG